This 74-nucleotide small RNA is filed under the name Xanthomonas axonopodis pv. vasculorum. Its description in RNAcentral is "sX9". The record is from RNAcentral. Lineage: Bacteria; Pseudomonadati; Pseudomonadota; Gammaproteobacteria; Lysobacterales; Lysobacteraceae.
AUGUCCCACUCGGACGGCGCGGCUCAUGCGCGCCGUGCAGGGUCCACCUGAGCUGUCCGCUACGUGUUGCUGCC